Corylus avellana is the source of this 326-nucleotide non-coding RNA. NCBI's taxonomy places the organism in Eukaryota, Viridiplantae, Streptophyta, Magnoliopsida, Fagales, Betulaceae. The record is from RefSeq and is a predicted model, not a curated record.
UUGCUUCACAUACGCUACAUGGUUUGCACUUAGAGGAUUGGCUGCAGUUGGCCAGACUUACAACAAUUGUCCAGCUAUGCGCAGAGCUGUUGAUUUUCUACUUUAAGCACAAAGAGAUAAUGGUGGUUGGGGAGAGAGCUAUCUUUCAUGCCCAAACAAGGAAUAUGUACCUCUUGACGGAAACCAAUCAAAUUUGGUACAUACUGCAUGGGCAAUGAUGGGUCUCAUCCAUGCUGGACAGGCUGAAAGAGACCCAACACCUCUUCACCGUUCAGCAAAGCUCAUAAUUAAUUCUCAACUGGAAGAUGGCGAUUUUCCUCAACAGG